AGAGUUUGAUCCGUGGCUCAGGACGAACGCUGGCGACGUGCCUAACACAUGCAAGUCGAGCGGAGGGAAGGGCUUCGGCCCCGAACUUAGCGGCGGACGGGUGAGUAACGCGUGAGCAACCUGUCCCAGACAGGGGGAUACCAGAUGGAAACAUCUGCUAAUACCGCAUAAGACCACAGUUUCGCAUGGGACAGUGGUAAAAGGAGGAAUCCGGUUUGGGGUGGGCUCGCGUCCGAUUAGCUGGUUGGUGAGGUAACGGCCCACCAAGGCGACGAUCGGUAGCCGACCUGAGAGGGUGAUCGGCCACAUUGGAACUGAGACACGGUCCAAACUCCUACGGGAGGCAGCAGUGGGGAAUAUUGGGCAAUGGGCGAAAGCCUGACCCAGCAACGCCGCGUGAGGGAAGAAGGUUUUCGGAUUGUAAACCUCUGUCCUAAGUGACGAAGGAAGUGACGGUAGCUUAGGAGGAAGCCCCGGCUAACUACGUGCC
Molecule: ribosomal RNA, 490 nt
Filed under: uncultured organism
Description: SSU rRNA
Rfam family: Bacterial small subunit ribosomal RNA
Source: RNAcentral